ACACAUACGCAGGGGAACCCCUCCACGGGGUUGAGAAGGCAUGUGCCUGACCCUUUGAACCUGUUGGCCAACACCAGCGUAGGGAGACGAAUACCAUGGCCCC
RNAcentral lists this non-coding RNA (103 nucleotides) under Bifidobacterium cuniculi. RNAcentral's name for it is "TPP sequence". It matches the Rfam family "TPP riboswitch aptamer (THI element)". Rfam says of the family: Vitamin B(1) in its active form thiamin pyrophosphate (TPP) is an essential coenzyme that is synthesised by coupling of pyrimidine and thiazole moieties in bacteria. The previously detected thiamin-regulatory element, thi box was extended, resulting in a new, highly conserved RNA secondary structure, the THI element, which is widely distributed in eubacteria and also occurs in some archaea. The record is from Rfam by way of RNAcentral. Lineage: Bacteria; Bacillati; Actinomycetota; Actinomycetes; Bifidobacteriales; Bifidobacteriaceae.